AUUUUUUUUAUUUUUUUUUUAAAACGACGACAUAAACAAAAAUGAGCAGGCGAUGGAGAUGGAUUCCCUCCACAUUUUCUAUUGUUUGUAGUCCACACUCCACAAGUAGCAUUUUUAAUUUUCAACAGAAACAAAGGAACUCAAUGAUGAUAAAAUGAAGAAAAUAAUCUCUCAAAAUUUUUGAAAAAACGAAGACAUAAAAAAUUAAAAAAAAAGUACUAGAUGGAGAUGGGUUGGCUCCACUUCAGUAUUCCUUCCACAUUUGACGUUGUAGAAAUGAUAAGAGACAUGGGCCGAUUCAUUGAACUAUGAAAUAAUUCUCCAUUUCCGUCUGCAUAUGUUGACCAUCAUUUGUAAUCAAAACAAUCGCUAUAUCAUGGUUCUUGGAAGUUCUGUCAGUUUCAGGACAAGAAACUGAAGAGAUUUGCCCGUUCAUACUUUUGUGCCUCUUACCAUCAAAGAAAAUAGCAAACACAUAUAAAUCAACUCUAUAAGCAACUGUCAAAACCUCUUAAUAAUGAAACUUACGUAUUUAUUUCCAAAUUCAAUCACAACACAAAAAGACCUAAACACUACUCUAAAAAUUAUCUCCUAACUGAUGAGCAUUUGUCUCUGUUUGAUUCUAAUCUGAUGGUACCUUCCUCAAUUUGACUAUAUUUAAUGUAUGACAUGUUUAGAAUUUAACUUCUGAAUCAUUUUUUGUAGUAAUGUUAUCAGCAAUUAUUAAGCAAAAUAGACCCAGAAUUAUCUUCAGCACCCUCCAAAAAGUAUGUUGCAAUUCUAAAAAAUCACAAGCCAAUGGUUGCGUUGUACAUCAAGCUGCUGUAUGCUUCAGAAAUACAGAUGCUAGCAUUCUAUAAUUGGGAUGGGGAAUAACCUACUCAACAUAGGGGCCAAACCGAAGCCCUCAUCUAACCAGGAGCUGUGAUAUCAUAGACAAGUCAACACAAGCCUGGUUUGUCUUCUUCGUAUGCAACCCCCUCCCAUCGAAAUGCACAUUCUAUUUCCUCGGGUAGAUACCAUAUAAAAGAUGUGUGGAUUCACUAAGAGUUGGGCAGCUUCUCUUUGAACAAGCGUGGAAGCACUUCAUGUGCGCUAAUGUCUAGAGGCUCUGGAUCCCUGCAUAGUGUUUGACCCUUCUCACUGAUACUAGGAAUAAACCAUAAUUUUCGCAAGAAAGGGCACUCCAAUUGUACAAAGAAACCAUCAUGUUGCCCAUGCUUCCAUUUCCUUGAUCCUUGACCUUUCCAUACCUGUGGGUAAGAUAUGAUACUUUUUGGUACAACUAAACAAGCUGCUUUUGAGAAAGUCUCCUCAGCAUACUGUCUAAGAAAUGUGACACAACUGCUGUGUGUAUGGGGCGAUUCAAAGGCCUUAUCAAUAUUGACAACUGGAGCAUAUUUAUCCGUCUCUGUCUUUUCCUUAUCGAGAAGAAAGUAGACCCUAGGAUCAACUUUGGAAGUUUCAUGCCAUGAUUUUACAGCUGCCUCCAUUGUCUCAACAAGGAAAGAGAACAUUUCUUUCCAACAUUCUUCAGAUCCAAUCUUUUCAGACAUUUCAGAUUUCAAUGUAUCCAAGUGCUUCGCCAUGUCAACAUUGUAUCUUUUGCUCUCCACUUCUUCAACUCGUUUUUUCUCUUUUGCCAACUGGGAUAUCCUCUUAAUCUUUCUUGAUACCUCAGUGCUCCGUGGAUUGUACUGUAAAGAUGUUUGGAAAGCAGCCAAGGCAUCCGCAUACCGUUCCAUGGCCUCUAAUACACACCCUUUCCUGAAAUAACCUUUUUCCCAUUGGGGGUUCAAUGUGAUUGUUGUCUCAGCAUCAGCAAGUGCUUUAUUAAGCUUAACCAAUUGCAGAAAUGCAGCAGCACGAUUGCUGGGAAAUAAUUAACAUUAUGCAGUGGAAGACACAAAAGAACAAUACGUUACCUGGCAGAAAUAUCCUCUACAUUUUUUUCACAAGUAGAUAAAAAAGUUGCAAAACCUUUAUUGGUAGCACUAAUGCCAUCAAGCAGAAACAGAGAAAAGUACAUUUCAUGUCUCUAAAAGUUCUGGAACUUAAUGUGGAGAAGCAGAACCACUAAAUUCAGUACAAAAGAAACAAGGUAUCCGCAUCUGUCAUAUCAGUUUCUACCGCAUGGAAAACUGAACUUUCCAUAUCCUCUUGUGACAUGAUAGAGAUGAAUAAACCUCACAGAAAUGACGUUUUGACUCUGUCCUUAAUUCAAAAAUUAAAAUACUUUUGAGGUUGAAGAAGAUAUAAAUAAAGCACAUUUGCUUUGCAUUUUACAGACAGAUAACUUUGAUUCCAAAAUU
RNAcentral lists this unclassified non-coding RNA (2312 nucleotides) under Hevea brasiliensis (rubber tree). Lineage: Eukaryota; Viridiplantae; Streptophyta; Magnoliopsida; Malpighiales; Euphorbiaceae. The record is from RNAcentral.